GAUGAACGCUGGCGGCGUGCCUAAUACAUGCAAGUCGAGCGAACGGACGAGAAGCUUGCUUCUCUGAUGUUAGCGGCGGACGGGUGAGUAACACGUGGAUAACCUACCUAUAAGACUGGGAUAACUUCGGGAAACCGGAGCUAAUACCGGAUGAUAUUUUGAACCGCAUGGUUCAAAAGUGAAAGACGGUCUUGCUGUCACUUAUAGAUGGAUCCGCGCUGCAUUAGCUAGUUGGUAAGGUAACGGCUUACCAAGGCAACGAUGCGUAGCCGACCUGAGAGGGUGAUCGGCCACACUGGAACUGAGACACGGUCCAGACUCCUACGGGAGGCAGCAGUAGGGAAUCUUCCGCAAAGGGCGAAAGCCUGACGGAGCAACGCCGCGUGAGUGAAGAAGGUCUUCGGAUCGUAAAACCCUGUUAUUAGGGAAGAACAUAUGUGUAAGUAACUGUUCACAUCUUGACGGUACCUAAUCAGAAAGCCACGGCUAACUACGUG
RNAcentral lists this ribosomal RNA (497 nucleotides) under uncultured bacterium. RNAcentral's name for it is "partial 16S ribosomal RNA". It matches the Rfam family "Bacterial small subunit ribosomal RNA", at positions 28 to 507 of the family's 1533-position model. The record is from RNAcentral.